CACUUCCUCAUUACCAGAAGGAUGUGGAAGCUUUAAAGAGGGUGCAGAACAGACUUUCCAGAUGUUACCUGGACUAGAGAUGUGGUUCUGGGAGCCUGCAAUCUACAUUUUGAUGGUGUUUUUUCAGGCUGGUUGAGUGAUCUGGCAUGUUGCUGUCUCCGAAAGGAUUCUGUGAGGCGUGUGACCUUGAGGCCAAGAAGUCUGGAGACAGGGAGCAAGCCCCUGAUUGGCUCCAUUUCUCGCUGAUCUCAUUGGUUAAAGUGCCAAGGAAGAUUAAAAUCAUGGAGACGAUCAAGCCGGCAAACUGAAUUCAUGUCCCAGCAAGAAUCUGUCAUAUUUACAGACUACUGUUGUAUGGACAUAUGCAACAGGAUGACAAUGUAUCAUGCAGUAUGCUGCUAUGCAUUCACAUUACAAACCGAGAAGUAGAAUAGAAACAAUGAAAAACAACACACGAGCAAAGACCGACAAACAACCGAUG
This is a long non-coding RNA of Mobula hypostoma (lesser devil ray), 481 nucleotides long. RefSeq lists it as uncharacterized. NCBI's taxonomy places the organism in Eukaryota, Metazoa, Chordata, Chondrichthyes, Myliobatiformes, Myliobatidae. The transcript is spliced from 5 exons. The record is from RefSeq and is a predicted model, not a curated record.